RNAcentral lists this non-coding RNA (30 nucleotides) under Mus musculus (house mouse). The record is from RNAcentral. Lineage: Eukaryota; Metazoa; Chordata; Mammalia; Rodentia; Muridae.
UAGGCAUAAGACAGUAAAUACGAGAUCGUC